Molecule: non-coding RNA, 1203 nt
Organism: Danio rerio (zebrafish)
Lineage: Eukaryota; Metazoa; Chordata; Actinopteri; Cypriniformes; Danionidae
Source: RefSeq, a predicted model, not a curated record
UGGGGAGAUAAUAGAAAAUGCAGUUGAUUGAUAUCCUUGUGUGAUGGUGUAGUGCAGCUGAUUGAAAUGAGUAACCAAAAUGUGAUGGUGCUGUGCAGCUGAUUGGCAUUGACAUCGGCCAAUUGGCACGUAGCACCGCCUUUUUAAACCUGAUUGGCCGGUGCUUGGGAUACGUCACGUCCGACUCCGACGCACUGGUUUGGGUGUCUGUAGCCGCGGCUACAGGUAGAGGCUCUGCGCUCGUUCUGAAUUUUUUAAGUUGUUUGAAUCGACCCACGUUAAGCUCUCUUUUGGCAUUGUUCUAGUGCAUCGUGUGACGGUGGCUUUUCCCUUGGCUGUGGUGGCUGGAUGACUGUUCAGUUGCAGCUAUUAAUUCCGGCACCUCGCUGUAUUGUAUCGACCAACGCGUGAUUAGAACGUGUCUGAGUGUGCGCCCAUUGGAACUGAGGUUUCCCCCGGUGGAUGACGGGUCACUUUCCACUGGUGGUGGGGUUUCUCUAUCGUGUGCUGUGGACACUGAGUGCGUGAUAGCGGGAUUUUUGAGUGCACUGUGGUGUGUGCGUGUUUUGGGGUAAAGUCUGUCCACUCGUACCCAGUCAGUGGGAACCUCCAAUCCUGGUUUGGUUUUGUUUAUUUAUUGCUUCUUGUGUUUAAUAAUGAAGUGGGAGUUUUUGAUGUGUUUUUAAGAACCGUACUAUUUGAUAGUUUUAUUCCAAAUAAAUAUUUUUGUACUUUUUCAUUAACUCACGUCUCUGUGCCUUUCUGGGAGAAACGAACCUGUGUCCUUUUCUAAUAGUUGUUUCCCUGGGUAACUCCUGGGGUGGCGUAGUCGGUUAUUUUUAUUUUAAGAGAUUUAAACCCUACUCUAUACCCUCGUCACACUUGUCUAAAACUAUGUAUGCUAGAUUAUUUUCAACUGUUCAAUAAAAAUUAAACCACAAAAAAGCAGCGAUAGUACAGCAAGAAUUGUGGGACAUGGAGGACAACCUUGUCACAUACUGUGUCUCCAGCUUCACAUGCCAGCUUUGUCACCUUGGCAUCAGUAGAGUUGUACAAGCUUCAAAUUAACACCAGAUCUCAGGUAUUCUGAAGUAGUUUUAAUAAAGUAAUAAAAAUCAUGAACUGCCAAUCUUGUUAACAAUUUUUACUCCAGGUAAAAGCAUUCCUGAUGUUUUGCCAGAGGGUGGAUGUCUAAAUAAAAUC